AAUAAGAUGCCUGAUAAAAAGGACUAUUUUGAUAGAAUAGAUCAUGUAUAAUAUACUCUUAUUA
This 64-nucleotide transfer RNA is filed under the name Pygovepres vaccinicola. Its description in RNAcentral is "tRNA-Ile". The record is from RNAcentral. Lineage: Eukaryota; Metazoa; Arthropoda; Insecta; Hemiptera; Miridae. RNAcentral also lists the same sequence under 1 other name.